CGAUUAUUCCGUGGUGAUUUGAGCCGACCGGCUUGCGGCCACGUUAAACAACUCGCUAAAAGGUCGGUGUUCGGUUGAU
This 79-nucleotide non-coding RNA is filed under the name Oceanibaculum pacificum. The record is from RNAcentral. Lineage: Bacteria; Pseudomonadati; Pseudomonadota; Alphaproteobacteria; Rhodospirillales; Oceanibaculaceae.